RNAcentral lists this long non-coding RNA (601 nucleotides) under Heterocephalus glaber (naked mole-rat). RNAcentral describes it as "lncRNA (ENSHGLG00000031574.2)". The record is from RNAcentral. Lineage: Eukaryota; Metazoa; Chordata; Mammalia; Rodentia; Bathyergidae.
GGGGGUGCUUCUGGUGCCCGCGCGGCUCACCCUCUCUGCCCUAGGAGCAUGGGAUGGUGGCGGGGGAGCUUCCUUCCGAGUGCUGGGACCAGUUCACCUUCUUUGCCCUAGGAGCGUGGGAUGGCAGUGGAGGAGCUUCCUUCCAGAUGCUGGGACUGGCUCACCUUCUCUGCCCUAGGAGCGUGGUGUGGCAGUGGAGGACCCUCCUUCUGGAUGCUGGGACUGGCUCACCUUCUCUCUUAAUGAGAGUUCCAGUGGUAUCAAGAUUUUUAGUAACUGUAGCAUGCAUGAAUAUAGGCAUUUUGUUUCAAAAAUUGAGGCAGAUUGACUUCACAACCUUUCAAAUUUUCAACUUCUGUAUCAAACUCAACCAUUGGCUGGCAGUGGGAUUUUGGAAUCUAAUGAAGAAUAUGACUGUGGUUACAAAGAGAUAUGUUGCCAUCUCUUUGUCGAUAAAUCCUGCUUUUAAAAUGAAAGACAGAAUAAAACAACACAGUCUGAAUAGAUCUGCACCCUGUGAGUUUCUACAACCAGAGGCUGUACCCAGACUGUCACAUAGAAGAUCCCUCCAGUGCCUCAUCAGUAUCUUCUUCACAGUAAC